Molecule: ribosomal RNA, 247 nt
Filed under: uncultured archaeon
Lineage: Archaea
Description: partial 16S ribosomal RNA
Rfam family: Archaeal small subunit ribosomal RNA
Source: RNAcentral
CCGACGGUGAGGGGCGAAAGCUGGGGGAGCAAACCGGAUUAGAUACCCGGGUAGUCCCAGCCGUAAACGAUGCUCGCUAGGUGUCUGGGAUGGUGCGACCGUUUCAGGUGCCGCAGGGAAGCCGUGAAGCGAGCCACCUGGGAAGUACGGCCGCAAGGCUGAAACUUAAAGGAAUUGGCGGGGGAGCACUACAACGGGUGGAGCCUGCGGUUUAAUUGGACUCAACGCCGGAAAACUCACCUGGGGC